CCAAGAGGGCUAAAUGCAGUCGACGAUGAACACCUUCUGGUGGGGAUUAGUGGCGAACGGGUGAGUAACACGUGGGCGAUCUGCCCUGCACUCUGGGACAAGCCCUGGAAACGGGGUCUAAUACCGGAUACUGACCUGCCAAGGCAUCUUGGCGGGUCGAAAGCUCCGGCGGUGCACGAUGAGCCCGCGGCCUAUCAGCUUGUUGGUGAGGUAAUGGCUCACCAAGGCGACGACGGGUAGCCGGCCUGAGAGGGAGACCGGCCACACUGGGACUGAGACACGGCCCAGACUCCUACCGGAGGCAGCAGUGGGGAAUAUUGCAAUGGGCGAAAGCCUGAUGCAACGACGCCGCAUGAGGGAUGACGGCCUUCGGGUUGUAAACCUCUUUCAGCACGGAAGAAGCGAAAGUGACCGUACCUGCAUAAGAAGCGCCGGCUAACUACCUGCCAGCAGCCGCGGUAAUACGUAUGGCGCAAGCGUUGUCCGGAAUUAUUGGGCGUAAAGAGCUCGUAUGCCGCUUGUCUCGUCGGUUGUGAAAGCCCGGGGCUUAACACCGGGUCUGCAGUCGAUACCGGCAGGCUAGACUUCGGUAGGGGAUAUCGGAAUUCCUGGUGUAGCGGUGAAAUGCGCAGAUAUCAUGAGGAACACCGGUGGCGAAGGCGGAUCUCUGGGCCGAUACUGACUCUGAAGAGCGAAACCCUGGGGAGCGAACAAGAUUAAAUACCCUGGUAGUCCACGCCGUACACGGUGAGCACUACGUGUGGGCAACAUUCCACGUUGUCCGUGCCGCAUCUAACGCAUUAAGUGCCCCGCCUGGGGAGUACGGCCGCAAGGCUAACACUCUA
RNAcentral lists this ribosomal RNA (845 nucleotides) under Streptomyces sp. A164. RNAcentral's name for it is "bacterial SSU rRNA". It matches the Rfam family "Bacterial small subunit ribosomal RNA", at positions 47 to 904 of the family's 1533-position model. RNAcentral also lists the same sequence under 1 other name. The record is from RNAcentral. Lineage: Bacteria; Bacillati; Actinomycetota; Actinomycetes; Kitasatosporales; Streptomycetaceae.